This 214-nucleotide long non-coding RNA is filed under the name Elaeis guineensis (African oil palm). RNAcentral describes it as "long non-coding RNA (EGUI_LNC045829)". Lineage: Eukaryota; Viridiplantae; Streptophyta; Magnoliopsida; Arecales; Arecaceae. The record is from RNAcentral.
GGGUUACUAAUUCUAUCAUGCUAAAGAACAUAAGAUGCUUAUCAGCAGUAGGGUAUUCCUUUUGGAAAGGAGUUCCUUAGAGAAGGACUGAUGCGUAUCAAGUUGAACUUGAAAGUUUGACUGGUAGAAAAUGAACCGACAUAAUCUAGUAAACCUAUAGAACCGGAUUUGAUUAGAUCAAACUCGGAGCCCAUUAAAGUAACACCUUUAAGGA